UUUUCAUUUCUUUCUCUUCAUAUAUGGCCAAAGGAAGUGGACUCUCCUUUGAUCCAGAUCCCAUCAAACCUAUUCCUACUAUCCUCAAUUCUUUUCUUGAACCCCAUAACAACCACUUUUAUCCUCGUAACAAAAUUUUUUUCAAUUUUUCAUCUAUGGAAUCAUCAUACAACAACAGGUCACCACCUCCUACUAUUCAAUUCCCAGUAAACCUUAACUGCUCUACUACUCAUCAUGAUCAAGACGAACAGCACAUCAGACCAGUUAUUGAUGAAAUGGACUUCUUUGCUGAUAAAAAAAAUGAUACUAAUUCUGAGGAGCCAACAACAGCUAAUGAUUCUGAUAGAAAAGAAUCAAACACUCCUCCUCCUCCUCCUGGAUUGGAUUUUAAUAUUAAUGUAAGGUUAACCGAAUUAGGAGUACAUUUCUUACCAAAUGUUGUGAAUUUUGACAUAAUUGUAUUCGUUUUGUAGACUGCUUUGCAUCUUCUUACAGCAAACACUUAUAGUGAUCAGUCCUUAGUGGAUGAUGGCUUAUCCCCUAAUUCUGAUGAUAAAAGAAUCAAGAGUGAGGUAAGACUAAUUUAAUAUCACUCACUAUACUGGAGUUGAUUGAUUUCUCACUCAACUAAUCAGAAAGUUACUCUCUUUUUUUGUUGUUGUUGAAAGAAAUUGAAAUGAAGAAAAAGGGUGACUUUCUGAUAAAGUAACCAUAUGAGAAAUCAAUUGGUAUAUUCUGUAAUUUAGCUUUGUUAACAUGAAUUUUGGACAUCCUCUGUUUCAGUUAGUAGUUCUUCAGGCUGAAUUGGAAAGAAUGAAUGGCGAAAAUCGACGUUUAAGGGAUAUGUUAAAUCAGGUGAAAAACAAUUACAAUACCCUGCAGAUGCAUAUGAUGACAGUGAUGCAACAAAAUCAAGAAAGUGGUCAACGUGAUGGGAAAAGUGAAGAAGUGAAACAUCAAAAUGGUCAUGGAGGAGGAGGAGGACAAGUAGUGCCUAGGCAAUUUAUGGAUCUUGGCUUAGCUGCUUCUGAGGCUGAAGAGACUUCCCAGUCAUCGUCCGAGGGACGCAGUGGCAGGGAAAAAUCGCGAUCACCAGCGAAUAACAUUGAAGCAGGUUCGACAUGUGGAAUUAUAAGAGAAGAUAGUCCUGAAAAAGAGUCACCUGGUUGGGGUUCUAAUAAAAUUCCAAGACUUGGCAAUAGCUCUACUAAUAAACCUGCUGAUCAAGCUACUGAGGCUACCAUGAGAAAGGCUCGGGUCUCGGUCAGGGCUCGAUCAGAAGCUCCCAUGGUAUGUAACUUUGAUUUAAUGUAUAUAUAUAUAUUGAUUUUGGUUUUAAAAGAUUAUUUGAUAAAACCUUUUUUUGUGAUGCAAUCAGAUCACAGAUGGUUGCCAAUGGCGAAAGUAUGGGCAGAAAAUGGCGAAGGGAAACCCAUGUCCUCGGGCUUAUUACCGGUGCACCAUGGCAGCUGGUUGUCCAGUUCGGAAGCAAGUAUGUUUCUGUUUUUCUGUACUUGGUCAAUCAUGAAUCUUAGUAAAUUUAGACUCUAAUUAACAAUAAUGUGUUAGUUGUACACUGAUUGUCAAUACUAGUUGGUGUUGUGUUGCUAUUGCUCUUUCUUGAUCAAAUACAGAAUUUUUUUUUUUCCAACAAUAAUCAACAGAGAAUCUUGUUAGGAAAUAUCUUGAGGAAUUCACUUCUGAAUUUAUAUAUUAUAGUAGUAAUUAAAAGCAAUGAAAGUUUUUAUAGUGUCUAUAACUUUAACCAGAAGUCUCAGAGUCGAGCUUCAAAUAAAGAAUUGUACACUAAAGAGUGUUUUACCUCCUUUAGUGGGUUACUCAAAGCGAGUCUAGAUUAGCCGGAUUAAUGGGCAAUGAAUAUUGAAUGAAAGGGGGAAAAAAGGAAGUCUUUUGACUGAAGUGAAUUUUGCUGCAUUGAUAGGUUCAAAGAUGUGCAGAGGACAGAACGAUCUUGAUCACAACUUAUGAAGGUACUCACAACCAUCCGUUGCCACCGGCAGCUAUGGGGAUGGCCUCAACAACUUCCUCUGCAGCAAGAAUGUUACUUUCAGGUUCUAUGCCAAGUGCAGAUGGGCUAAUGAAUCCCAAUUUCUUCGCGAGAACUCUCCUCCCUUGCUCUUCCAGCAUGGCCACAAUUUCAGCCUCCGCCCCGUUUCCUACUGUUACAUUGGACCUAACUCAAUCCCCAAACCCGUUGCAAUUCCCAAGACCCCCAAACCCAUUCCAAGUCCCAUUUUCAAAUCCAACUCACAACAACAUCCUAGCAAAUCCAGCUGCACUUUUGCCUCAGAUAUUUGGCCAGGCUUUGUAUAACCAAUCCAAAUUCUCUGGCCUCCAAUCGUCUCAAGAUUUGGAAGGACAACAGCA
This 2388-nucleotide long non-coding RNA is filed under the name Solanum tuberosum (potato). RNAcentral's name for it is "long non-coding RNA (STUB_LNC007615)". Lineage: Eukaryota; Viridiplantae; Streptophyta; Magnoliopsida; Solanales; Solanaceae. The record is from RNAcentral.